RNAcentral lists this ribosomal RNA (468 nucleotides) under uncultured bacterium. Its description in RNAcentral is "partial 16S ribosomal RNA". It matches the Rfam family "Bacterial small subunit ribosomal RNA", at positions 28 to 507 of the family's 1533-position model. The record is from RNAcentral.
GACGAACGCUGGCGGCGUGCUUAACACAUGCAAGUCGAACGGAAAGGCCCUGCUUUUGUGGGGUGCUCGAGUGGCGCACGGGUGAGUAACACGUGAGUAACCUGCCCUUGACUUUGGGAUAACUUCAGGAAACUGGGGCUAAUACCGGAUAGGAGCUCCUGCUCCAUGUUGUUGGUUGGAGAGUUUCGGCGGUUGGGGAUGGACUCGCGGCUUAUCAGCUUGUUUGUGGGGUAGUUGCUUACCAAGGCUUUGACGGGUAGCCGGCCUGAGAGGGUGACCGGCCACAUUGGGCCUGAGAGACGGACCAGAAGCCUACGGGAGGCAGCAGUGGGGAAUAUGGCACAAUGGGCGGAAGCCUGAUGCAGCAACGCCGCGUGCGGGAUGACGGCCUUCGGGUUGUAAACCGCUGUCGCCGGUGACGAAGAGUGAGUGACGGUAAUGGGUAAAGAAGCACCGGCUAACUACGUG